Molecule: transfer RNA, 72 nt
Filed under: Verrucomicrobiota bacterium
Lineage: Bacteria; Pseudomonadati; Verrucomicrobiota
Description: Verrucomicrobia bacterium tRNA-Thr
Rfam family: tRNA
About the family: Transfer RNA (tRNA) molecules are approximately 80 nucleotides in length. Their secondary structure includes four short double-helical elements and three loops (D, anti-codon, and T loops).
Source: RNAcentral
GCCGGAUUAGCUCAGUGGUAGAGCAGUUGAUUUGUAAUCAUCAGGUCAUCGGUUCAAAUCCGAUAUCCGGCU